GACGAACGCUGGCGGCGUGCCUAAUACAUGCAAGUUGAGCGCUGAAGGUUGGUACUUGUACCCACUGGAUGAGCAGCGAACGGGUGAGUAACGCGUGGGGAAUCUGCCUUUGAGCGGGGGACAACAUUUGGAAACGAAUGCUAAUACCGCAUAAAAACUUUAAACACAAGUUUUAAGUUUGAAAGAUGCAAUUGCAUCACUCAAAGAUGAUCCCGCGUUGUAUUAGCUAGUUGGUGAGGUAAAGGCUCACCAAGGCGAUGAUACAUAGCCGACCUGAGAGGGUGAGCGGCCAGAUUGGGACGGAGACACGGCCCAAACUCCUGAGGGAGGCAGCAGUAGGGAAUCUUCGGCAAUGGACGAAAGACUGACCGAGCAACGCCGCGUGAGUGAAGAAGGUUUUCGGAUCGUAAAACUCUGUUGGUAGAGAAGAACGUUGGUGAGAGUGGAAAGCUCAUAAAGUGACGGUAACUACCCAGAAAGGGACGGCUAACUACGUG
RNAcentral lists this ribosomal RNA (497 nucleotides) under uncultured bacterium. RNAcentral describes it as "partial 16S ribosomal RNA". It matches the Rfam family "Bacterial small subunit ribosomal RNA", at positions 28 to 507 of the family's 1533-position model. The record is from RNAcentral.